UACGAAGGGGGCUAGCGUUGCUCGGAAUUACUGGGCGUAAAGGGUGCGUAGGUGGGUCUGUAAGUCAGUGGUGAAAUCUCCGAGCUUAACUCGGAAACUGCCAUUGAUACUAUAGGUCUUGAAUUAUCUGGAGGUAAGCGGAAUAUGUCAUGUAGCGGUGAAAUGCUUAGAUAUGACAUAGAACACCAAUUGCGAAGGCAGCUUACUACGGAUAUAUUGACACUGAGGCACGAAAGCGUGGGGAUCAAACAGG
Molecule: ribosomal RNA, 253 nt
Filed under: uncultured bacterium
Lineage: Bacteria
Description: partial 16S ribosomal RNA
Rfam family: Bacterial small subunit ribosomal RNA
Source: RNAcentral